ACUCAGUUGUCGAGUCGCAAAUAAGACGAAAUGCCCGUCCUGGAU
This is a non-coding RNA of Schistosoma haematobium, 45 nucleotides long. The record is from Rfam. Lineage: Eukaryota; Metazoa; Platyhelminthes; Trematoda; Strigeidida; Schistosomatidae.